Non-coding RNA from Burkholderiales bacterium, 193 nucleotides. The record is from Rfam. NCBI's taxonomy places the organism in Bacteria, Pseudomonadati, Pseudomonadota, Betaproteobacteria, Burkholderiales.
GUCGCCGCGAGGCGGGGUGCGGAGGAAGCCCAAGGCGAAAUCGCGGGACGAUGAACAAAAACCGGAUAUGAGGCGUGAUGCAUUCGGGACCAGCGGGCACGUGACCGUCAAGUCCUCUAUCUACAACGUGGGUGGCGACACCGACAAGAGUGCAUUUUGUAAAUCCGGCGUCUAUGCGAGGAAGGAUUCGUGU